UACCACACAAUCAAGGCCAGCCUGAAACUC
RNAcentral lists this non-coding RNA (30 nucleotides) under Mus musculus (house mouse). The record is from RNAcentral. Lineage: Eukaryota; Metazoa; Chordata; Mammalia; Rodentia; Muridae.